This 23-nucleotide unclassified non-coding RNA is filed under the name Mus musculus (house mouse). RNAcentral's name for it is "oocyte_clustered_small_RNA10201". The record is from RNAcentral. Lineage: Eukaryota; Metazoa; Chordata; Mammalia; Rodentia; Muridae.
UAGCUGUUGGAGACCCAUUUGUC